AUGCAUUUUCAUUACAAUUCCUUUUUGCUAGAGCAGAUCAUUUUAGAUGGAUAUAUAUGUACAUAUGUUGAGGAGAAGCUUGUCCAACAUCGUUUGAGAUGGUUUGGGCAUAUCCAGCGCAGGCCUCCAGAAGCUCCAGUGCAUAGCGGACGGCUAAAGCGUGCGGAGAAUGUCAAGAGAGGGCGGGGUCGACCGAUUUUGACAUGGGAGGAGUCCGUUAAGAGAGACCUGAAGGAUUGGAGUAUCGACAAAGAGCUAGCUAUGGACAGGGGUGCGUGGAAGCUUGCUAUCCAUGUGCCAGAGCCAUGA
RNAcentral lists this ribosomal RNA (309 nucleotides) under Triticum aestivum (bread wheat). RNAcentral's name for it is "partial small subunit ribosomal RNA". The record is from RNAcentral. Lineage: Eukaryota; Viridiplantae; Streptophyta; Magnoliopsida; Poales; Poaceae.